UACGUAGGGUGCAAGCGUUGUCCGGAAUUAUUGGGCGUAAAGAGCUCGUAGGCGGUCUGUCGCGUCGGCUGUGAAAACCCGGGGCUCAACCCCGGGCCUGCAGUCGAUACGGGCAGACUAGAGUUCGGUAGGGGAGACUGGAAUUCCUGGUGUAGCGGUGAAAUGCGCAGAUAUCAGGAGGAACACCGGUGGCGAAGGCGGGUCUCUGGGCCGAUACUGACGCUGAGGAGCGAAAGCGUGGGGAGCGAACAGG
RNAcentral lists this ribosomal RNA (253 nucleotides) under uncultured bacterium. RNAcentral describes it as "partial 16S ribosomal RNA". It matches the Rfam family "Bacterial small subunit ribosomal RNA", at positions 524 to 776 of the family's 1533-position model. The record is from RNAcentral.